Molecule: non-coding RNA, 101 nt
Organism: Acanthosepion pharaonis
Lineage: Eukaryota; Metazoa; Mollusca; Cephalopoda; Sepiida; Sepiidae
Source: the annotation of a GenBank genome assembly
ACGGCUAUAUCACGUGGAAACGCCGUUUCUCGUACGAUCACCGAAGUUAAGCAGCGUCGAGCGUAGAUGGGUGACCGCUUGGAAAUACCAGCUGCUGUAAG